Molecule: long non-coding RNA, 2260 nt
Filed under: Equus caballus (horse)
Lineage: Eukaryota; Metazoa; Chordata; Mammalia; Perissodactyla; Equidae
Description: lncRNA (ENSECAG00000046247.1)
Source: RNAcentral
CUGCAAAGAACUGAAUCAUGCCAGCAGCCCGUGAGCGGGUCUGGAAGGGGAUCCUCCCCUACUGGAGCGGUGAGGCCACUGCAGACAAUGAUUGCAGCUUGUGAGCAACCUUGAGCCACACCCAGAUUACUGACUCAGAAACCCAAGAUAAAAUGUGAAGUUUGGGGCUGGCCCAGUGGCUUAGUGGUUAGUUCUUGUGUUCCGCUUUGGCGGCCCAGGGUCCGCAGGUUUGGGUCCUAAGCGUGGACCUAUACACUGCUCAUCAAGCCUUGCUGUGGCAGGCAUCCCACAUAAAAAAUGGAGGAAGAUUGGCACAGAUGUUAGCUCAAGGACAAUCUUCCUCACCAAAAACAAACAAAACGUGAAGUUUUAAGCUGCUAACUUUUGGGGUUAUUUGUUAUGCAGCCUUAGAUAACAAAGCUAGAAAAGGACAAUGGCUUAUCCCAACUCCACUCCUGGGGUAAAAGUACUUGAUAGAGCUCUAACAUGAUGUUUUCUGUUUGCAGAAAAACUGUCAAAGCAGUGAGCAUAUCAUGCUGAAUCUGGCAGCACAGAGUUAGGAGAGCCGGUCUUCCUCCUGUGUUCACAUAAACCCGCACAACGAGAGCAUUGAUUUGUUGGACUGCACUCAGCGAGUUCACACACGCGGCCGCAUUUAGGCAGCAUGCCAGAUGUGUAAAAUCAGAAUUUAAUGAUGGCAUUUCAGCAGCAGCCCCGGAAUUUAGCACAGUAUCACCGUUGAAUACUAAUGUGCCCCUAGCAAGAAAACAAGAGGACAGAAACAGCUUUUUUUUUUUUUUUUUGCACCUUUCUUGGAGAUGGAGAAAUGGAAAGCAAUUAACUGUUUCAUGGAAACUUCAUCUCAUAAAGAAACUCCAGUCAAAAGCAAACCCAUGGUAGUUGUUCUUAUGUUCAUACCACUUUAUCAAUCAAGCAAAGGUAAAUUACUUUUUAACACUUUAAAAUAUUAAUUACACCGCCUAUUUAGGAAGUUCAUGUUUUUCCUGAAGACUUUAUUAAGCAUUUUUACUUUCUGAAAAUAAAUAUGUACAUGAGAAGUACUGUGAAUGAAGUCACCAUGUGAUAAAAUCAUUUCUGCUUCUCAUGACUUCAAAAUGAAGUUCCAUUUCCCUUUAAAUAGAAGGGAGAAGGAGAAAAUCUAAUUUUUGAAAAAACAAAUCUUCUUAUCCUAAAGAAUGGAAUGUCUCAAACUCGGCACUGUUAACACUUUGGGCCACAUAAUUCUUUAUUAUGGGGGCUGUUGUGUGUGUUGUGGGGCGUACAGCAGCAGCCCUGGCCUCUACUCGCCAGAUACCAGCAGCGCUGCCCUGAUUUGUGACAACCUAAUAUGUCUCCAGAUGUAGCCAAACGUCCCCUGGGGGGAGAGAGUCAAAAUCAACCCCUUUUGGAAGCCACUGCUAUAGAGAGAUGAAAGAGAUUUAAAAAAAAAUAACCAAAAGCCGUUGAAUUCUAUUUUAAAGAAAUAUUUCAGACUUGUGAAGAGGUAUAAAGAAUAAUGAGCACCCGCAUACCCAGAACCCUGCUUAAUAUCUCCCCGUUUCAUCCCUCAGAGGUCCUGAAUUUGGCUCAGCACCCCCGUGUGUGUGUAGGUCAGAGGUCCUGAAUUUGGCUCAGCACCCCAGUGUGUGUGUUGGUCAGAGGUCCUGAAUUUGGCUCAGCACCCCCGUGUGUGUGUUGGUCAGAGGUCGUGUACUCUAUUUCUCACUUUUGUGACUGACUUUCAUAUUUCUCAUGUAUGCGUCAAGUUGAAAAUUAAUAGUUCUACUCUCCUUCUGAACAAAACAAGAAUCAUAUAAUGCCUUAUCUCCAGUCACCCCUCUUCCAUCUUGUAUAUUAUUUUAGUUCUAACUUGUUUUUUAUGUCUCCCCCAAAUGGUCAAUAUUUUUGUUUUUAUAGUGAAUAUUUAGACUUCUCUCUAUGCUUAUCGGUUCUUUUGUUCUUUUGCUCUCACACCCCAGACCUUACAUCUGGGAUCCACUUUCCUUCUGCCUUCCUUUGGAAGUUAUUUAUUGACACCCUGCAUAGUGAUCUGUCCAAUUUUUGGUUUUCUGAAAAAUCUCUGUAUUUCCUCCUCAUUAUUAUAUGAUAGUUUAUGUGGGUAUAAAAAUCUACAUUGACUGUUAUUCUCUUUCAGUGUUUAUUUCAUGAAGAUCUGGCUUCUUUUAUAAAUCUAAAUUCCUUUACCUAUAAUCAGUCUUUUCCUCUUAACUGAUUUUACAAUAUUCUCUACUAUUUUGCC